CCCUUAGACGUUCUGGGCCGCACGCGCGCUACACUGACGAUGGCAACGAGCUUUCCUUUACCGAAAGGUACGGGUAAUCUUUUGAAACUUCGUCGUGCUGGGGAUAGAUCCUUGCAAUUUUUGAUCUUAAACGAGGAAUUCCUAGUAAGCGCAAGUCAUCAACUUGCGUUGAUUACGUCCCUGCCCUUUGUACACACCGCCCGUCGCUACUACCGAUUGAAUGGUUUAGUGAGGCCUUCGGAUCCGCGACUCGUUUUGUGGAGAAGUUGGACAAACUCAGUCAUUUAGAGGAAGUAAAAGUCGUAACA
RNAcentral lists this ribosomal RNA (308 nucleotides) under uncultured eukaryote. Its description in RNAcentral is "partial 18S ribosomal RNA". It matches the Rfam family "Eukaryotic small subunit ribosomal RNA", at positions 1470 to 1796 of the family's 1831-position model. The record is from RNAcentral.